CUUGACAACCAGAUCUCCUCUCUGCAGCUGACGCAGAGAGCUGCUCAUGCGUCAUGGGAAGAACUCAGGGGAGAGCAGCUGCAAACAACACCAUCUGAACAGAGGUGAGGCCAGGAGGAAGGCUGUCGCGGGGAGCAGGCGGGAACUGGGAAGUCUGUUUAUCUGGAGCUUUCUCCAGCCAGCCAAGGAGUCCCCAAGACGGCUGUUCUGAGCGGGCAUCCCCGUUGAUUCUAUUGUCCUUUCAAUUUGGGAGGAAACCAGGAACACCUGACAGAAGCUCAAAUCUCCUUCCCUUAAACAAAGAGCCCAGAUUGGAUUCAAAGUCCCCACUGCGAGGCUGAGCCACGUCCUGACUCUGCUCUGACACUGGAGUGUGGCGUCCACAUUAUUCGGGCUCGGCAGCUGGAAGGGAACGCACAGCCCGGAUUCAAAUAGCAGCAUCUGUUAGUGUCUCCCAGGAGAAAAAUUCUCCUUUUGUUGCAUAUUAAGUCAUUAAAGCUCCAAAAAGAAAAAGGGACAUUCAUUUCCCCACCAUAUGCAGACGAUAUUUUAAUGCAGAGGUACCAAGGCAAACGGGCCAGGCGUUUGGAUAACAGGCUGGAGAAGGAAUGUCAGGCACGCGGGAUUCGCUGAGCACCCGAGUCUGUCUGUCCCCUGCAGUGCUGAGACCUCAUCACCUCUGUGCCCAGAGCCUGGCUGAGGCUGAGUCAUCAAUAUUGCCACCAGAGCCAUUGUGCAAACCACACAGGUGGUCUGAAUUCUCCAGGAGCCCUGUGAAAACAGCAAAAUGCAACAGAAGAGACGAAUUUUAAUAGUACAUUUUCUUUAACUCAAUCUAUCCAAAACAUUCAUCACCUCAACAUAUAAUCAAUAUAAAAAUGAUCAACAAAACAUUUUAUACUCACUGCAUAUCUCAAUUCAGACCUAAAUUUUCAUUAGAAAUUCUUGGUCUGUAUUUAGACUCCAUAAACUUUGCAGUUGAGAAAAAGGAGAUUCAAAUGUCCAAGUUGUCCCAAGCAUUCUUAAGAGUUUUCCAAUAACUAUAUCAAGUAGCUCUUCUAAAAUUUAAAUGAACUAAAAACACCUGAAAUUUAAAAAUGAAAAGUUCAGCUCCUUGGUCACACGAUCUGGCAUUUCAAGUGUCCAGUAGCCACACGUGGCCAGUGUGCUGAAUAAUGCAGAUGCAGAAUGCUCCACUGGGGCAAGAAGCUUUGCUGGAUGGGAUAAAUCCAGGCUUUUGUGUUCUCUGGGCUGGGGCACUGACUACUGGUUUAUCCAGUAGUCACGU
This 1288-nucleotide long non-coding RNA is filed under the name Bos indicus x Bos taurus (hybrid cattle). Its description in RNAcentral is "lncRNA (ENSBIXG00005002245.1)". The record is from RNAcentral. Lineage: Eukaryota; Metazoa; Chordata; Mammalia; Artiodactyla; Bovidae.